Molecule: ribosomal RNA, 305 nt
Filed under: uncultured bacterium
Lineage: Bacteria
Description: bacterial SSU rRNA
Rfam family: Bacterial small subunit ribosomal RNA
Source: RNAcentral
UUGUCCUACGGGGGGCAGCAGUGAGGAAUGUUGGUCAAUGGGCGAGAGCCUGAACCAGCCAAGUCGCGUGAGGGAAGACGGCCCUACGGGUUGUAAACCUCUUUUGUCAGGGAGCAAGAACGGAUACGUGUAUCCGAGCGAGAGUACCUGAAGAAAAAGCAUCGGCUAACUCCGUGCCAGCAGCCGCGGUAAUACGGAGGAUGCGAGCGUUAUCCGGAUUUAUUGGGUUUAAAGGGUGCGUAGGCGGGCUGCCAAGUCAGCGGUAAAAAUGCGGGUCUAAACCCCGUCAAGCCGUUGGAACUGGG